GAUGAACGCUGGCGGCGUGCCUAAUACAUGCAAGUCGAGCGAACAGACGAGGAGCUUGCUCCUCUGACGUUAGCGGCGGACGGGUGAGUAACACGUGGAUAACCUACCUAUAAGACUGGGAUAACUUCGGGAAACCGGAGCUAAUACCGGAUAACAUGUUGAACCGCAUGGUUUAACAGUGAAAGACGGUCUUGCUGUCACUUAUAGAUGGAUCCGCGCCGCAUUAGCUAGUUGGUAAGGUAACGGCUUACCAAGGCAACGAUGCGUAGCCGACCUGAGAGGGUGAUAGGCCACACUGGAACUGAGACACGGUCCAGACUCCUACGGGAGGCAGCAGAAGGGAAUCUUCCGCAAUGGGCGAAAGCCUGACGGAGCAACGCCGCGUGAGUGAAGAAGGUCUUCGGAUCGUAAAACUCUGUUAUUAGGGAAGAACAAAUGUGUAAGUAACUAUGCACGUCUUGACGGUACCUAAUCAGAAAGCCACGGCUAACUACGUG
RNAcentral lists this ribosomal RNA (497 nucleotides) under uncultured bacterium. RNAcentral describes it as "partial 16S ribosomal RNA". It matches the Rfam family "Bacterial small subunit ribosomal RNA", at positions 28 to 507 of the family's 1533-position model. The record is from RNAcentral.